This 158-nucleotide ribosomal RNA is filed under the name Colletotrichum fructicola. Its description in RNAcentral is "5.8S ribosomal RNA". The stretch from base 1 to 84 matches the Rfam family "5.8S ribosomal RNA", at positions 71 to 154 of the family's 154-position model. From Rfam's summary of the family: 5.8S ribosomal RNA (5.8S rRNA) is a component of the large subunit of the eukaryotic ribosome. It is transcribed by RNA polymerase I as part of the 45S precursor that also contains 18S and 28S rRNA. The record is from RNAcentral. Lineage: Eukaryota; Fungi; Ascomycota; Sordariomycetes; Glomerellales; Glomerellaceae.
AUUGCAGAAUUCAGUGAAUCAUCGAAUCUUUGAACGCACAUUGCGCCCGCCAGCAUUCUGGCGGGCAUGCCUGUUCGAGCGUCAUUUCAACCCUCAAGCUCUGCUUGGUGUUGGGGCCCUACAGCUGAUGUAGGCCCUCAAAGGUAGUGGCGGACCCU